CUCGUCUGCCUGGUAGAGUGGGGGGCGCUCCCUGAGCUGCUGUCGCAGUGAUUUCCACCGAUCCUCCAGCAACUGCUUCACUGGGUCCAGCUCCAGGCGGUCCAGCUGUGGCAGGGAAAGGGGGCCCAGGGGACCUCUAAGGAAGCAGGUAGGGGGCUGACCCAGGAGAAGGUGGUGCUGUCCCAAUCCUGGAGGCAGGGCUGUGGGAUGGAGAGCCCCGCCAUGCCCCUGCCUUACCUUGUUGUCCAUCUCUGUGAGCAGCUUGUCCAGCAUCUUCUGCCAGUCCUGCUCCUGCCCGCUCAUCUUGGCCACCAGCUCCUGCAUCAUGUGGUUCAGCUGCUCCGUGGUGGCAUCAAACUGGAUACGGCUCACUUUGGUGGCCAGAGCACUCUUGUCGGCUUUCUGCCCAGAGACAGAGGUCCCCGCAUCUGGGAGAUGGCCAUGGAGGGGCCCCAUUCCCUGGUGGUGUCAACCCCUAACACCAGGCAGGUUUCUGAGCGCCCACACUCCUCUUGCCAGCUUCCCUCCACUCAGUCUCUCAAAGAACAGCCGGCGAGACUGCCCUGGGACACAGCGUGGCCCCUGGGGCCUGGCACCCACCACAUCAAUCUCCAUCUCCAGGUGCUCCCUGUUGGCCUUUUCCUUUUCGAGCUUCUCCAGACCCUGGUACAGCAUCUGGGGAGGCCAAGUGAACAGAGGAAAAAAGAGCCAGCAGCUACGGGGCUGUGGCACCACACUGAGCCCCGGCCCCAUCCCGGCCACCCUGCGGCCACUCACAGCAAUGUCCUUCUGUUUCUGCCGAUGGUCCUCGAUGAGGUUGCUGGUGGUGAUGUUAAGCUUCUCGCAGUCGCCCUGCACCUGCAGGAUGGCACUCUGCACGCGGCCCAGCAGCUCCUCGUCCUGCGGCAGGAGGGAUGGGAAGGCUCUCGGAGGCUGCUGGCGCGAUCCUACCCCCUGCUGCCUUAGUAUUGCUGCCCCCAGGUAAGUUGGCCCUUAAAACAUCUCCAAGGCUGGGAGCGGUGGCUCAUGCCUGUAAUCCUGGCACUUUGGGAAGCUGGGGCGAGGCAAGAGGAUCACUUGAGCCCAGGAGUUCGAGAACAGCCUGGGCAACAUAGGGAGACCCUGUCUCAAAAACAACAAUGGAGCCGGGCGCGGUGGCUCAAGCCUGUAAUCCCAGCACUUUGGGAGUCCGAGACAGGCGGAUCACGAGGUCAGGAGAUCGAGACCAUCCUGGCUAACACGGUGAAACCCUGUCUCUACCAAAAAAAUACAAAAAAAUUAGCCGGGCGAGGUGGCGGGCGCCUGUAGUCCCAGCUACUUGGGAGGCUGAGGCAAGAGAAUGGCCUAAACCCGGGAGGCGGAGCUUGCGAUGAGCUGAGAUACAGCCACUGCACUCCAGCCUGGGUGACAGAGCAAGACUCUGUCUCAAAAAAAAAAAAA
RNAcentral lists this long non-coding RNA (1440 nucleotides) under Macaca fascicularis (crab-eating macaque). RNAcentral's name for it is "lncRNA (ENSMFAG00000053437.1)". Lineage: Eukaryota; Metazoa; Chordata; Mammalia; Primates; Cercopithecidae. The record is from RNAcentral.